This 2923-nucleotide ribosomal RNA is filed under the name Klebsiella pneumoniae. Its description in RNAcentral is "23S ribosomal RNA". It matches the Rfam family "Bacterial large subunit ribosomal RNA". Lineage: Bacteria; Pseudomonadati; Pseudomonadota; Gammaproteobacteria; Enterobacterales; Enterobacteriaceae. The record is from RNAcentral.
GGGUUGUGAGGUUAAGCGACUAAGCGUACACGGUGGAUGCCCUGGCAGUCAGAGGCGAUGAAGGACGUGCUAAUCUGCGAAAAGCGUCGGUAAGGUGAUAUGAACCGUUAUAACCGGCGAUGUCCGAAUGGGGAAACCCAGUGCAAUUCGUUGCACUAUCGUUAACUGAAUACAUAGGUUAACGAGGCGAACCGGGGGAACUGAAACAUCUAAGUACCCCGAGGAAAAGAAAUCAACCGAGAUUCCCCCAGUAGCGGCGAGCGAACGGGGAGCAGCCCAGAGUCUGAAUCAGCUUGUGUGUUAGUGGAACGGUCUGGAAAGUCCGACGGUACAGGGUGAUAGUCCCGUACACCAAAAUGCACAGGCUGUGAACUCGAAGAGUAGGGCGGGACACGUGGUAUCCUGUCUGAAUAUGGGGGGACCAUCCUCCAAGGCUAAAUACUCCUGACUGACCGAUAGUGAACCAGUACCGUGAGGGAAAGGCGAAAAGAACCCCGGCGAGGGGAGUGAAAAAGAACCUGAAACCGUGUACGUACAAGCAGUGGGAGCACCUUCGGGUGUGACUGCGUACCUUUUGUAUAAUGGGUCAGCGACUUAUAUUCUGUAGCAAGGUUAACCGUAUAGGGGAGCCGCAGGGAAACCGAGUCUUAACUGGGCGUUAAGUUGCAGGGUAUAGACCCGAAACCCGGUGAUCUAGCCAUGGGCAGGUUGAAGGUUGGGUAACACUAACUGGAGGACCGAACCGACUAAUGUUGAAAAAUUAGCGGAUGACUUGUGGCUGGGGGUGAAAGGCCAAUCAAACCGGGAGAUAGCUGGUUCUCCCCGAAAGCUAUUUAGGUAGCGCCUCGUGAAUUCAUCUUCGGGGGUAGAGCACUGUUUCGGCUAGGGGGUCAUCCCGACUUACCAACCCGAUGCAAACUACGAAUACCGAAGAAUGUUAUCACGGGAGACACACGGCGGGUGCUAACGUCCGUCGUGAAGAGGGAAACAACCCAGACCGCCAGCUAAGGUCCCAAAGUCAUGGUUAAGUGGGAAACGAUGUGGGAAGGCACAGACAGCCAGGAUGUUGGCUUAGAAGCAGCCAUCAUUUAAAGAAAGCGUAAUAGCUCACUGGUCGAGUCGGCCUGCGCGGAAGAUGUAACGGGGCUAAACCAUGCACCGAAGCUGCGGCAGCGACACUAUGUGUUGUUGGGUAGGGGAGCGUUCUGUAAGCCUGCGAAGGUGACCUGUGAGGGUUGCUGGAGGUAUCAGAAGUGCGAAUGCUGACAUAAGUAACGAUAAAGCGGGUGAAAAGCCCGCUCGCCGGAAGACCAAGGGUUCCUGUCCAACGUUAAUCGGGGCAGGGUGAGUCGACCCCUAAGGCGAGGCCGAAAGGCGUAGUCGAUGGGAAACAGGUUAAUAUUCCUGUACUUGGUGUUACUGCGAAGGGGGGACGGAGAAGGCUAUGUUAGCCGGGCGACGGUUGUCCCGGUUUAAGCAUGUAGGCUGGUUAUCCAGGCAAAUCCGGAUAAUCAAGGCUGAGGUGUGAUGACGAGGCACUACGGUGCUGAAGUAACAAAUGCCCUGCUUCCAGGAAAAGCCUCUAAGCAUCAGGUAACAUCAAAUCGUACCCCAAACCGACACAGGUGGUCAGGUAGAGAAUACCAAGGCGCUUGAGAGAACUCGGGUGAAGGAACUAGGCAAAAUGGUGCCGUAACUUCGGGAGAAGGCACGCUGGUGUGUAGGUGAAGCCCCUGCGGGUGGAGCUGAGACCAGUCGAAGAUACCAGCUGGCUGCAACUGUUUAUUAAAAACACAGCACUGUGCAAACACGAAAGUGGACGUAUACGGUGUGACGCCUGCCCGGUGCCGGAAGGUUAAUUGAUGGGGUUAUCCGUAAGGAGAAGCUCUUGAUCGAAGCCCCGGUAAACGGCGGCCGUAACUAUAACGGUCCUAAGGUAGCGAAAUUCCUUGUCGGGUAAGUUCCGACCUGCACGAAUGGCGUAAUGAUGGCCAGGCUGUCUCCACCCGAGACUCAGUGAAAUUGAACUCGCUGUGAAGAUGCAGUGUACCCGCGGCAAGACGGAAAGACCCCGUGAACCUUUACUAUAGCUUGACACUGAACAUUGAGCCUUGAUGUGUAGGAUAGGUGGGAGGCUUUGAAGCGUGGACGCCAGUCUGCGUGGAGCCAACCUUGAAAUACCACCCUUUAAUGUUUGAUGUUCUAACGUUGGCCCCUGACCGGGGUUGCGGACAGUGUCUGGUGGGUAGUUUGACUGGGGCGGUCUCCUCCCAAAGCGUAACGGAGGAGCACGAAGGUUAGCUAAUCCUGGUCGGACAUCAGGAGGUUAGUGCAAUGGCAUAAGCUAGCUUGACUGCGAGCGUGACGGCGCGAGCAGGUGCGAAAGCAGGUCAUAGUGAUCCGGUGGUUCUGAAUGGAAGGGCCAUCGCUCAACGGAUAAAAGGUACUCCGGGGAUAACAGGCUGAUACCGCCCAAGAGUUCAUAUCGACGGCGGUGUUUGGCACCUCGAUGUCGGCUCAUCACAUCCUGGGGCUGAAGUAGGUCCCAAGGGUAUGGCUGUUCGCCAUUUAAAGUGGUACGCGAGCUGGGUUUAGAACGUCGUGAGACAGUUCGGUCCCUAUCUGCCGUGGGCGCUGGAGAAUUGAGGGGGGCUGCUCCUAGUACGAGAGGACCGGAGUGGACGCAUCACUGGUGUUCGGGUUGUCAUGCCAAUGGCACUGCCCGGUAGCUAAAUGCGGAAGAGAUAAGUGCUGAAAGCAUCUAAGCACGAAACUUGCCCCGAGAUGAGUUCUCCCUGAGACUUUAAGUCUCCUGAAGGAACGUUGAAGACGAUGACGUUGAUAGGCCGGGUGUGUAAGCGCAGCGAUGCGUUGAGCUAACCGGUACUAAUGAACCGUGAGGCUUAACCUUACAACGCCGAAG